AAGCAGGAAAGCUUAUUUAUAACUUGAAGGGCCUCAUUAUCUGACUGAGUAGUCUGUCUCUUUUUUGAUAGAUUUUAUUUUCCAUCUUUGUGGUCAGACUAACACACCUUCUGUCUACUUCCAAUUUACUGUAAACUGGGUCAUGGAAUUCAGGCUAAGAUGACUCAACUGCCUGAGGCAGAAAAAGAAAAGAUUGCUGAGCAAGUUGCUGAUUUCAAGAAAGUAAAGAGUAAGCUGGAUGCUGAGAUUGAGAUAUGGGAUGAUACAAGCAACGACAUCAUUGUUCUGGCCAAGAACAUGUGUAUGAUCAUGAUGGAGAUGACAGACUUCACUAGGGGCAAAGGACCACUAAAGCAUACAACUGAUGUGAUCUAUGCAGCGAAAAUGAUAUCAGAAUCAGGAUCAAGGAUGGAUGUCCUUGCUAGGCAGAUUGCUAAUCAGUGCCCAGAUCCAUCUUGCAAACAGGACUUGUUGGCCUACCUGGAACAGAUUAAGUUCUACUCCCACCAACUGAAAAUCUGCAGUCAAGUUAAAGCUGAGAUCCAGAACCUGGGAGGAGAGCUCAUCAUGUCAGCUUUGGACAGUGUCACAUCCCUGAUCCAAGCAGCCAAAAAUUUAAUGAAUGCUGUAGUGCAAACAGUGAAAAUGUCUUACAUUGCCUCAACCAAGAUCAUCCGAAUCCAGAGUCCUGCUGGGCCCCGGCACCCAGUUGUGAUGUGGAGAAUGAAGGCUCCUGCAAAAAAACCCUUGAUUAAAAGAGAGAAGCCAGAGGAAACGUGUGCAGCUGUCAGACGAGGCUCAGCAAAGAAAAAAAUCCAUCCAUUGCAAGUCAUGAGUGAAUUUAGAGGAAGACAAAUCUACUGAAACCACUAUUCUACAUAUAGUGCCUAUAUGACAAAAUCCUGCCUAACCACACUUUAUUUUACACUUAAGAAGUUCUGUAAUUUCACUAAGUUUUGGUGUUUAACUCACAAAUAACAUAAAAUAUUGGGCACUAAAUCAACAAAAGCAAUAUAUAUUUGGGAUCAUAUCACUGUCGUUUCUGUAUGGUCAGCACCUAAUAGUUAAGGAAUAUUUGCU
RNAcentral lists this small RNA (1080 nucleotides) under Pan troglodytes (chimpanzee). Its description in RNAcentral is "processed transcript". The record is from RNAcentral. Lineage: Eukaryota; Metazoa; Chordata; Mammalia; Primates; Hominidae.